RNAcentral lists this long non-coding RNA (839 nucleotides) under Meleagris gallopavo (turkey). Its description in RNAcentral is "lncRNA (ENSMGAG00000020472.1)". The record is from RNAcentral. Lineage: Eukaryota; Metazoa; Chordata; Aves; Galliformes; Phasianidae.
GCCAAGCUGCGCGCCAACCAGAAGGGCUACGCCGACUACAAGCUGCGGCUGGCCAAAGCCACGCUGACACUCAUCCCCCUCUUUGGGAUCCACGAAGUCGUCUUCAUCUUUGCCACCGACGAGCAAACCACGGGCAUCCUGCGCUACAUCAAGGUCUUCUUCACCCUCUUCCUCAACUCCUUCCAGGGUUUCCUGGUGGCCGUGCUGUACUGCUUUGCCAACAAGGAGGUACGUGGCUCUGGUUUUGGGUUGGGGCUGUGAAAGGGAGUAGCUUUAACUUUGGCUCGUGGGGGUGGGCUCUGCUCGUGCGAGGGAGGGCAUUGCCAGGGAAAAGCCAUCGGUAUCUCGCUCCAGGUGAAGUCAGAGAUGAAGAAGAAGUGGCAGCUGUGGAAACUCGACCACCCCACGCUCUGCUGCACGCAGUGACAGCAGCACCGCAGGGCUCUGCUCCGGCUGCUGGAGGGUCUGAUCCCAAUGCACACAGUGGGGGAGCAGCCACCAGCAGCCCCACGUAUGUGUGCAGAGCUGCAAGGAGCAGAGCCUGCUGCCACCAGACCCAGCCGUGCACUGGCACCCUACCAGUGCUGGUACCCGUGCAGCAGGAUGGGAGCACGGCCGUCGCAUCCCGAGGUGUGCCAGCACCACACUGGGCAUUGCACUCCUGCUCUCCUCACCUAAGCCAGGGCCACCUUGCCACCUCUCUGCAUCGAGGUGCUGCAGCAGCUGCUCACCACCGCCUUCACUCCAGCGCACUGCACAGAGCAACCCCCACCACCCUCGUCGUGUCCCUCUGGCUGCCAGCUCUCCUCCCCAGCGCAGCACCUCCUGCAGCAGCCUGA